AUCAGUUCAGUUUUUUAUCUUUAGAUGAGAAUUAUUCUAGUUUUGCUAUUCAGAUUCUGAUUUAAUUUCAAUUUGUUGUGAAAGAUCAUCUGGUCGGUGACAGUUCCACUAGUUGGACACAUUCCUAGGAAACAUGUCUGCCUGCCCUGUUCAAGACCAGGGUGCCCUUUCUUGUACUAGCAGCUCAAAUCUGCUGUUUGAUGAGAAGUCUGCACCUAGUUCUCCUAAAAUAGCUGAAGUGUGCUUUGGAGAUAGAAGUGAUGAUAUGAAAUCCUCCAUGUGAGAUAGUCUGGAUGGCGAGGAGGAGGAAAUCUGGAACUCCUCACACCUGAACAUAGACGAGAAAAUACGCUUGGUGGACCUUCUGCACUGCAAGACUCGCCAGAUGAAGAUGAAUGCAGAUCUGCAGAAUGCUCUUUACGCUCAUGAGGACUCAAAUGCUAAUCUGGAAUUGGAAAA
Molecule: long non-coding RNA, 459 nt
Organism: Alosa sapidissima (American shad)
Lineage: Eukaryota; Metazoa; Chordata; Actinopteri; Clupeiformes; Clupeidae
Exons: 3
Source: RefSeq, a predicted model, not a curated record